CGGGGUGCAGCAGGCGCGAAGACUUUGCAAUGCGGGAAACCGUGACAAGGGAACUCUGAGUGCCCGUUAAAUCGGGCUGUCCAUCGGUUUAAAUAACCGGUGAAGAAAGGGCCGGGCAAGACCGGUGCCAGCCGCCGCGGUAAUACCGGCGGCUCGAGUGGUGGCCACUAUUACUGGGCUUAAAGCGUUCGUAGCUGGUUUGUUAAGUCUCUGGGGAAAUCUUCCGGCUUAACCGGAAGGCGUCUCAGGGAUACUGGCAGACUAGGGACCGGGAGAGGUGAGAGGUACUCCAGGGGUAGGAGUGAAAUCCUGUAAUCCUUGGGGGACCACCUGUGGCGAAGGCGUCUCACCAGAACGGCUCCGACAGUGAGGGACGAAAGCUGGGGGAGCAAACCGGAUUAGAUACCCGGGUAGUCCCAGCUGUAAACGAUGCGCGUUAGGUGUAUCGGUGACCACGAGUCACCGAGGUGCCGAAGAGAAAUCGUGAAACGUGCCGCCUGGGAAGUACGGUCGCAAGGCUGAGACUUAAAGGAAUUGG
RNAcentral lists this ribosomal RNA (538 nucleotides) under uncultured archaeon. RNAcentral describes it as "bacterial SSU rRNA". It matches the Rfam family "Archaeal small subunit ribosomal RNA", at positions 326 to 868 of the family's 1478-position model. The record is from RNAcentral.